Molecule: long non-coding RNA, 1303 nt
Filed under: Panax ginseng (ginseng)
Lineage: Eukaryota; Viridiplantae; Streptophyta; Magnoliopsida; Apiales; Araliaceae
Description: long non-coding RNA (PGIN_LNC008158)
Rfam family: MIR6140 microRNA precursor family (bases 358-522)
Source: RNAcentral
UUUGAAUUUGAUUUUUGCUUGCAUAAAUCGUAAGCUUGUUCUAUAUUUAAAAAGUCAGAGCAAAAUGAAUCAGCAUCACGUUUGAAUUGAUUUUGUGAGUCAUCGUCGUCUACCUGCUCUCUGUCCAUAAUUGCAGCAGUUAUGCGUGGGAUCCGUGAUUUAAUAUGGACCACGCAUAUCUUCAAGUUUUCUCCCUAUAAAUUUCCAAGCAUAGACAAGAGCAAAAUAUUAACAACAAUAUGAUGAUGAGGAUUGAGGACAAUACUACCAACAAUAUGAUUAUCCUGUUUCAUUACCGAUAAUAGUUAUCCUGACAAAAAGGUCCAUACAAGAUAUAUUAUUUGAAUAAUACUAUAGAUACAAAUUAUUCUACAAAUAUUUUACAAACUGCUGAUAUGAUAUAUUUCACCUUAGUAUAUUGUGUACGGCCGAAAACUACAUUAAAACAAUUUGUUGAUCAAUAUGUUGAAGUGGAGUAUGUCACAUCAGCAGUUUGUAAAAUAUUUAUAGAAUAAUUUAUGUCUCUAUCUAACAUUACUCCUAUCAUUUUUCAUUAGAUAAUUAUGUGGGCUAUGUUAUAAAUUAGGGGCACGUGAACGAUAUGUGAUUUUUUUUUUAAAUGGACCACACAUCUCUUGUAGUUUUUUUUCCUGUAAAUUUAAGCAUCUCUUGUAGUAUCUUUCCUGUAAAUUUCGAAGCAAGCUGUACAGGAAAAACGAAUGCAGGAGGGGGGAGGGGGUCUGUUUACCUCAUGCUUCUUCGUAAGCCGUGAAGCUGAAUGUAAUCUUCAAGUCCUCUUACUGUAGCAAGAGUUGAAUUGGAUUUCCACCAUCUUCGUGAUGGUUUUUGGCACCUCAUACGAAUCAGCAUGCUUCAGCAUCUUGUGGCAAACUACCUUCGAACAGAUGAAGAAAGUACAGCGAAUCUAGGUCUCACGAGAGAAGGUCACCAUGGGGAGUGUGGGACCACCCUCAGUGGCGGAAUCAGAAGAUUUUUGUAAGGGGUCAAAAUACAUCAGUAAAAAAAUUUUAUUUAUUGACGUUUGAAGUGCUUUUUUCGGUUGUACGACUAAAAAGAGACAACUGUAUCCUACGAAUCUAUAUAGUUUGAAAACGUCUCAAAAUUUGUUCGUUUUCAAUUGUUGAAAAAAUAUAAUAAUUAAAUGUGUUUGUAAAAAUAAAAUAUAAUGAAAAAUAAAACUAUGACAACUUAUCUUUAGUCGCUUUGUUUGUUAUGGAUCAUAGAGCAAAUGGUAACGAGGAUUUUAGCUUGGUGCUCAACAGCUCAAACAUGUUUAUCCCUC